RNAcentral lists this transfer RNA (70 nucleotides) under Marmota monax (woodchuck). RNAcentral's name for it is "tRNA.Ala". The record is from RNAcentral. Lineage: Eukaryota; Metazoa; Chordata; Mammalia; Rodentia; Sciuridae.
GGGCUGGGGCUCAGUGGUAGAGCGCUUGCCUAGCAUGUGUGAGGCACUGGGUUCAAUUCUCAGCACCACA